This 144-nucleotide non-coding RNA is filed under the name Escherichia coli. Its description in RNAcentral is "SibE small RNA". The stretch from base 1 to 115 matches the Rfam family "Short Intergenic Abundant RNA", at positions 35 to 147 of the family's 147-position model. Rfam says of the family: This family contains multiple ncRNA from E. coli that were identified in a large scale screen of E. coli, were they were called candidates 43,55 and 61. These RNAs have also been identified by other groups and called QUAD RNAs. The record is from RNAcentral. Lineage: Bacteria; Pseudomonadati; Pseudomonadota; Gammaproteobacteria; Enterobacterales; Enterobacteriaceae. RNAcentral also lists the same sequence under 1 other name.
ACAAGGGUAAGGGAGGAUUUCUCCCCCCUCUGAUGAGUUGUUAGUAAGUCGGGAAACUUAACAGUAACAACACAACCAGUAUGAUGACGAGCUUCAUCAUAACCCUUUCCUUAUACAAGGCCCCUUCUUCGGGAGGGGCUUUCC